This 348-nucleotide unclassified non-coding RNA is filed under the name soil metagenome. Its description in RNAcentral is "partial contains 5.8S ribosomal RNA, internal transcribed spacer 2, and large subunit ribosomal RNA". The stretch from base 1 to 120 matches the Rfam family "5.8S ribosomal RNA", at positions 35 to 154 of the family's 154-position model. The record is from RNAcentral.
GAUGAAGAACGUAGCGAAAUGCGAUACGUAGUGUGAAUUGCAGAAUCCAGUGAAUCAUCGAAUCUUUGAACGCACAUUGCGCCCGCUGGAACUCCGGCGGGCACGCCUGUCCGAGCGUCAUUUCAACCCUCAGGCCCCCCUUCGCGGGCGGGCCUGGUGUUGGGGCCCGGCCGCUACCCUGCGGCCGUCCCCUAAAUUCAGUGGCGGCCUCGCCGUGAUCCCUUGCGUAGUAAUGCACCUCGCACCGGAGAGCGCCGUGGCCACGCCGUAAAACCCCCAAUUUUCAAUGGUUGACCUCGGAUCAGGUGGGAAUACCCGCUGAACUUAAGCAUAUCAAUAAGCGGAGGA